This 63-nucleotide transfer RNA is filed under the name Staphylinoidea sp. 12 KM-2017. RNAcentral describes it as "tRNA-Ala". The record is from RNAcentral. Lineage: Eukaryota; Metazoa; Arthropoda; Insecta; Coleoptera.
AGGAUAAUAGUUAAGUAUAACAUUUAAAUUGCAUUUAAAAAGUAUUGAGUAUCAAUUUAUCUU